GAUGAACGCUGGCGGCGUGCCUAAUACAUGCAAGUCGAACGAGGUGCCUUUGUAGCAAUACGAAGGUAUCCUAGUGGCGAACGGGUGAGUAACGCGUUGGUGACCUACCCCAAAGUGUGGGAUAACAGAUCGAAAGAUCUGCUAAUACCGCAUGUGGUCUUCGGAUUUAGAAACUGAUGACUAAAGGAGCAAUUCGCUUUGGGAGGGACCUGCGUCCCAUCAGCUAGUUGGUGAGGUAAUGGCUCACCAAGGCUACGACGGGUAGGGGACCUGAGAGGGUGGCCCCCCCACAAUGGAACUGAAACACGGUCCAUACACCUACGGGAGGCAGCAGUGGGGAAUUUUGGACAAUGGGCGCAAGCCUGAUCCAGCCAUUCCGCGUGCAGGAUGAAGGCCUUCGGUUGUAAACUGCUUUGUACGGAACGAAACGGCGAGCUCUAAUACAGUUUGCUAAUGACGGUACCGUAAGAAUAAGCACCGGCUAACUACGUGCCAGCAGCCGC
This 503-nucleotide ribosomal RNA is filed under the name uncultured bacterium. Its description in RNAcentral is "bacterial SSU rRNA". It matches the Rfam family "Bacterial small subunit ribosomal RNA", at positions 28 to 518 of the family's 1533-position model. The record is from RNAcentral.